ACCGGCAGCUCAAGUGGUGGCCAUUAUUAUUGGGCCUAAAGCGUUCGUAGCCGGUUUGAUAAGUCUCUGGUGAAAUCCCGCAGCUUAACUGUGGGACUUGCUGGAGAUACUAUCAGACUUGAGGUCGGGAGAGGUUAGGGGUACUCCCAGGGUAGGGGUGAAAUGCUAUAAUACGGGGAGGACCACCUGUGGCGAAGGCGCCUAACUGGAACGAACCUGACGCUGAGGAGCGAAAGUCAGGGGAGCAAACCG
Molecule: ribosomal RNA, 252 nt
Filed under: uncultured prokaryote
Description: partial 16S rRNA
Rfam family: Archaeal small subunit ribosomal RNA
Source: RNAcentral